Molecule: long non-coding RNA, 1272 nt
Organism: Panicum virgatum (switchgrass)
Lineage: Eukaryota; Viridiplantae; Streptophyta; Magnoliopsida; Poales; Poaceae
Exons: 3
Source: RefSeq, a predicted model, not a curated record
UCGAACUCAGCUUAAGUUCAUGUUUGAGGUGUUAUCUCUUAAAGAUAGUGAAGCUGACCUACCACUCAUGCUUUCCCGUAUAAUUAAAUCAUGAAGUCUGGAUCAUAAUUGCAAGGGGAAGCGUCUUUUGAUUUUUGAAUUAGCAAAGUUUAUCUCGAUCGCCAUUGCCAUUGCCCCUGAUCGUGUGGGCUGCAUAUUGAUGCUCAUGAAUGACCACCUCCCCUAUGCUUUCAUAUUAUUGAGACUCUGCACCAUUGCCUAUUUAUUCCAAACCUCUUAUUCAGAUGUUCCUGACGUGCCAAUUAAACGUGUUUCAUUUCUAACUGGUGUGCCUCUGUGCUCUAUAUUACCACUCCAACAUUUGUAUUUUGUCUGUGCAAUGUUAAACACUCCAAACAUUGAUCUUACUUUGGUCCUAAACACUUAGUUGCAAUUAGCACUCAAGCUCGAUACACCCAUACCAGGAGCUUACUUAGUACCUAUUAACACUCCUUUUUCUUUUUUAGAUGGUCACGUCUAACUGAUAUAUUGGCCUACCCAAUUGUACACACUUCCAAGGUGGCGCACUCAUUUGCUUUAUAUUAUUUUUUUCUCUUCCUCACGUGUUUAUCCACCCACUCGCACUACCUUUUCUAGAACCUUUUUCUUACGCCUUCCACUUCUCUACCAACGGUAACAUGUACCUCCAGCCCCCAACGUUAGGAUCACACCCCUAUAUAUAUGUUACCCUUUCACCUUCCCUCCCUGCCUCUCAAAUUCUAUCCCACCCACAGCAAGCCACUUUGAAACCACACAGCAUCUGUCGGUACUAGCUGCUGUACGCCAAGGCCCCAUUUUCCCCUCCAAGUCCUCUCUACUCUUGACAAAGUACCUCACCACGAAGUGCUACGUUGUUUUCCAUGGCCGCCAGCCCGGAGUCUACAACGAUUGGCCCACGUGCAAUGACCAAGUCAUUGGGUUCAAAAGAGCAUCAUUCAAGAGUUUUCCUACGGAGGAAGAAGCUUACGCAGUGUACAACGCCUACUUUGGCACAAAGCAGCAACUUGAACGCCGCCGCCCCACAACCGACACUAUUGUGUACAAGACCCCCCAGUGGAAGGAUGCAAUCUUAGUUUUACUUGCUGUUUCUUUUCUUGUUUUUUUCGCAUAUUCACUUUUCUAGACUGUACCCUCCAACCAGUGUACCCUCAAUCUUAUCCUGUUGUACGUAUGCAACGUCUGAAAUCAUAUACUCUGCCAACUAGUUCUACUGAAGCAAGUAUUUGUUAUUAA